RNAcentral lists this unclassified non-coding RNA (168 nucleotides) under air metagenome. RNAcentral's name for it is "partial contains small subunit ribosomal RNA, internal transcribed spacer 1, and 5.8S ribosomal RNA". The stretch from base 1 to 46 matches the Rfam family "Eukaryotic small subunit ribosomal RNA", at positions 1786 to 1831 of the family's 1831-position model. The record is from RNAcentral.
AAGUCGUAACAAGGUUUCCGUAGGUGAACCUGCGGAAGGAUCAGUCAAGAUUGCGCGCAAGCGCUUAUCUCCAACACCUGUGCACCGUGGUCUUCGGACCUACAAACAAGUAGUCAUGAACGUGAAAUCAUAACAAUAAAACUUUCAACAACGGAUCUCUUGGCUCUC